Molecule: non-coding RNA, 784 nt
Filed under: Shoveliteratura triangula
Lineage: Eukaryota; Metazoa; Arthropoda; Insecta; Orthoptera; Tettigoniidae
Description: 12S ribosomal RNA
Rfam family: Microsporidia small subunit ribosomal RNA (bases 365-778)
Source: RNAcentral
AAAGUUUUAUUCUUACUUAAGUAUUUAUUUUUUAGAUAUUUUACAUGUAAAUUUUUGUGAGGUAUAUUGGUAUCUAAAAGGUGAUUUAUGCAUUCGCAGUAUUUGAUUUUAAUAAUUAAAGAAAUUUAGAAUUAGUAAUCUGAUAUAUGGUCGACAAAAGUCGUGCCAGCAGUCGCGGUUAUACGUAGGACUUAAAUAAAUAUUGUUGGUAUUGAAGUUAAUUUGUUUUUGUAAGUUUUAAUUUGUUGAAGAAGGUAGAAUUUGGAAAUUGAAUAUACUUAGAUUAGAUAAUGAAGCUUUGAAAUUUAAAAUUUAAACUAGGAUUAGAUACCCUAUUAUUUUUAUAUGUGAAUUAAUAAUACUUGAGUAGUAAUAGUUAAGUUCUUGAAACUUAAAGAAUUUGGCGGUGUUUUAGUCUUUUCAGAGGAAUCUGUCCUGUAAUUGAUAAUACACAUUAUAUUAAACUUGAUAUUGUAAUUUCAGCUUGUAUACCGCCGUCGUAAGAUUAUCUUUUAAGAGAAAGAAUUUUCUAGAAUUUUUAAUAAAAUUUAUGUCAGGUCAAGGUGCAGCUUAUGAUUAAGUAGGAGAUGGAUUACAAUAAUAUUAAUAAUUAAAUGGAUAUUACAUUGAAAUAGUAAUUGAAGGUGGAUUUGAAAGUAAUAUUGUUAUAUUAUGAUAAUAUGAUUGUAGCUCUAAAACAUGUACACAUCGCCCGUCGCUCUCAUUACUUAAGGUGAGAUAAGUCGUAACAUAGUAGAUGUACUGGAAAGUGUGUCUAGAAUGU